UACGAAGGGACCUAGCGUAGUUCGGAAUUACUGGGCUUAAAGAGUUCGUAGGUGGUUGAAAAAGUCAGUGGUGAAAUCCCAGAGCUUAACUCUGGAACUGCCAUUAAAACUUUUCAGCUAGAGUAUGAUAGAGGAAAGCAGAAUUUCUAGUGUAGAGGUGAAAUUCGUAGAUAUUAGAAAGAAUACCAAUUGCGAAGGCAGCUUUCUGGAUCAUUACUGACACUGAGGAACGAAAGCAUGGGUAGCGAAGAGGAUUAGAUACCCUCGUAGUCCAUGCCGUAAACGAUGUGUGUUAGACGUUGGAAAUUUAUUUUCAGUGUCGCAGGGAAACCGAUAAACACACCGCCUGGGGAGUACGACCGCAAGGUUAAAACUCAAAUGAAUUGACGGGGACCCGCACAAGUAGUGGAGCAUGUGGUUUAAUUCGAAGAUACGCGCAGAACCUUACCAACACUUGACAUGUUCGUCGCGACUCUAAGAGAUUAGAGUUUUCGGUUCGGCCGGACGAAACACAGGUGCUGCAUGGCUGUCGUCAGCUCGUGUCGUGAGAUGUUGGGUUAAGUCCCGCAACGAGCGCAACCCUCACUUUUAGUUGCCAUCAUUUAGUUGGGCACUCUGAAAGAACUGCCAGUGAUAAGCUGGAGGAAGGUGGGGAUGACGUCAAGUCCUCAUGGCCCUUACGUGUUGGGCUACACACGUGCUACAAUGGUAUCUACAACAGGAAGCAAGACUGCGAAGUUAAGCAAAUCCCUAAAAGAUACCUCAGUUCGGAUUGCACUCUGCAACUCGAGUGCAUGAAGCUGGAAUUACUAGUAAUCGUGGAUCAGCGUGCCACGGUGAAUGCGUUCCCGGGUCU
This 856-nucleotide ribosomal RNA is filed under the name uncultured bacterium. Its description in RNAcentral is "bacterial SSU rRNA". It matches the Rfam family "Bacterial small subunit ribosomal RNA", at positions 524 to 1381 of the family's 1533-position model. The record is from RNAcentral.